AAAAAAAAUUUUUAAAAAUGUAAGUUUUAGAGGGGGACCUUGAUUUAAAAGUGUGCCACCUGGGGAAGGUUGCUUACUCUCUUUGAAUAUCAGUUUCUUAUUGUGUAAAAUGAGGAUUAGAAUACCUUCCUUAGGGGGUUGUUGGGAGAAUAAAAUGAAGUAACAUAUGAGAAAUGCUCACCACAUUGCCUGACAGAUAGUAAGUGCUCAAUAAAUAGUAUACAGUAACAGCAACAAUAAUGUUAUAAGAGAAAUCCCUUCCUUUUGUCUUAGCAGCUACUAAGCCAGGUGCAUCCUGUGCAAAAGGCCUGUGACACUCCGAAGCGAUAGUUCCAUCCAAAGGUGGUGAGAUUAUACCAGCCCAUCUCCAUGACAACCAGGUGUCUUAUUUAUCUUGUCCAGUGCCAGAUUUGGAGAUGGAGGAGAGGUUCAGAGAGGCUGGUAACCUGCCAGAGGUGGAUGCAACCGUAUUUUCUGACAGAUUCUUCCAGAACAGCUGCCUGCCCGAAGCCCUGAGCCACCACAGGAGCUGUCCAGUUGCCCCGAAGCCGCCAUCAGCCAUGUGGAAAAGUCACAUGGAGAAGCCUUGAGGCUAUUGGAAGAGAAAGAGAUGCUCAGCGAGCCCCCAGUUCUAGCGCCUCACCAACUGCAAGCCUGGGAGAGCCCCUGAACCAGAACUACCCAGCAGAAGGUCUUCCCAGAUUCCUGGCCCUUACAAACAGGACUAACAAGAUGAUUGCUAUUGUUUUAAGCGGCCUGCUAGCAGGUUCGGAAGGUGGUGCUUCUGACUGAGCCCGGAGUGAACAAGCCCAGUGGGGCCACCGGAGGCUCUUGGCUCUGAAGAGGAGGCACUGCGGCUCUAGAUUCUAAAAAGUCUGGCAAGUAUGGGGAGACUUAGCUGGUGUUUGGGGCAUGGUCUUAAGAGGCUCAUCUUGGGCGCCUGGGUGGCUCAGAUGGUUAAG
Molecule: non-coding RNA, 962 nt
Organism: Leptonychotes weddellii (Weddell seal)
Lineage: Eukaryota; Metazoa; Chordata; Mammalia; Carnivora; Phocidae
Source: RefSeq, a predicted model, not a curated record